AGAGCUUAGGAAAAUUCAGAUGCAGAAACAGGAUUGAAGAAGGAAACAUUUUGAAAACAGGUUGAGGAGAAAUGAUCAUUUGGGAACAUGUAACAAGGUGGUAGAUGAGGGUCAUCUGUGCUGUAGUAAUAAUAUGGUGCAGAUGAAAGGAGAGGAAGUAAAUGAUGUGUAAUAAAGAAUUUGACCUGGCCCUAAGGGGUCUGGCCUUUGCCUACAGCUUCUGAAAGGUAAUCUAGGUUACACCUCAUAGGAGUAUCUCUGUUUUGGGUGAGAGCUAGUCACAAUGGAUUUCAGGGUGGGGCUGACCACACCUGACAGUCUUAGCCAUGCCAGAGAAACCACACGAUUUAGAGCGAGGGGCAUUGAGUCACCUGGGAUCAGGCCACUUGGCAGCUGAGAUCAACCACCCAGGGGGAGAGGACACAGAGAAGCUGUGACUUUGGAACCCUCCAGGACUUCAUCCUAUGUGUUGCUUCCCUUGGCUGAUUUUAAUCCGUAUCCUUUCCCUGUAACCAUAACCCAUAAAGAGGAUUAACGGGCCCCAGCAGCAAAUACAAGUUCCUCUGCUUGCCAACCCUUUUCAUCAGCUGCACUGUGCACCCCAGUGAGCUCUGCCGAACCUGCUGCCAUCUG
Molecule: long non-coding RNA, 633 nt
Organism: Leopardus geoffroyi (Geoffroy's cat)
Lineage: Eukaryota; Metazoa; Chordata; Mammalia; Carnivora; Felidae
Exons: 3
Source: RefSeq, a predicted model, not a curated record